GACGAACGCUGGCGGCGUGCUUAACACAUGCAAGUCGAACGGUGAGGCCCUUCUUUUGUGGGUUGCUCUGGUGGCGUACGGAUGAGUAACACGAGAGUAACCUGCCCUUCACUUUUGUAUAACUUCACGAAACUGGGGCGUAUCCCAGAUAGGAGCUCCUGCUUCAUUGUGGUGGUUGGAAUGUUUCGGCGGUUGGGGAUGUGCGUGCGGCUUUUCAGCUUUUUGGUGGGGUAGUGGCUGACCAAGGCUUUGAAGGGUAGCCGGCCUGAGAGGGUGACCGGCCAGAUUGGGACUGAGAUACGGCCCAGACUCCGACGGGAGGCAGCAGUGGGGAAUAGUGCAAAAUGGGCGGAAGCCGGAUGCAGCAACGCCGCGUGCGGGAUGAAGGCCUUCGGGUUGUAAACCGCUUUCGCCUGUGACGAAGCGUGAGUGACGGUAAUGGGUAAAGAAGCACCGGCUAACUACGUG
Molecule: ribosomal RNA, 468 nt
Filed under: uncultured bacterium
Lineage: Bacteria
Description: partial 16S ribosomal RNA
Rfam family: Bacterial small subunit ribosomal RNA
Source: RNAcentral